GACGAACGCUGGCGGCGUGCUUAACACAUGCAAGUCGAGCGGAGCGGCGAACGGGUGAGUAACGCGUGAGUAACUGCCCCCCUCUCUGGGAUAACAGUUGGAAACGGCUGCUAAUACCGGAUAGAGGGGGCGGAGUCGCGUCCUAUGGGCUUGUUGGUGGGGUAGUGGCCUACAAAGGGGACGGCGGGCAGCCGGCCUGAGGGGGCGACCGGCCACAUUGUGCUUGGUGACGGGCCAUACGGCAACGGGGGGCAGCGGGGGAAAGUAUUGCACAAAGGGGGAAGCCCUGAUACAGCGACGCCGGGUGGGGGAUGACGGCCUUCGAGGUGUAAACCGCUUUCGGCCAUGACGCGGUAGUGACAGAAGAAGCACCGGCUAACUACGUGCCAGCAGCCGCGGUAAUUC
Molecule: ribosomal RNA, 405 nt
Filed under: uncultured bacterium
Lineage: Bacteria
Description: partial 16S ribosomal RNA
Rfam family: Bacterial small subunit ribosomal RNA
Source: RNAcentral